CAGCCGCCGCGGUAAUACGUAGGUGGCAAGCGUUGUCCGGAAUUAUUGGGCGUAAAGGGCUCGCAGGCGGUUUCUUAAGUCUGAUGUGAAAGCCCCCGGCUCAACCGGGGAGGGUCAUUGGAAACUGGGAAACUUGAGUGCAGAAGAGGAGAGUGGAAUUCCACGUGUAGCGGUGAAAUGCGUAGAGAUGUGGAGGAACACCAGUGGCGGAGGCGACUCUCUGGUCUGUAACUGACGCUGAGGAGCGAAAGCGUGGGGAGCGAACAGGAUUAGAUACCCCAGUAGUCCCUGUCUCUUAUAC
RNAcentral lists this ribosomal RNA (301 nucleotides) under uncultured bacterium. RNAcentral describes it as "partial 16S ribosomal RNA". It matches the Rfam family "Bacterial small subunit ribosomal RNA", at positions 509 to 807 of the family's 1533-position model. The record is from RNAcentral.